Molecule: transfer RNA, 84 nt
Filed under: Minisyncoccota bacterium
Lineage: Bacteria; Bacillati; Minisyncoccota
Description: tRNA-Leu
Rfam family: tRNA
About the family: Transfer RNA (tRNA) molecules are approximately 80 nucleotides in length.
Source: RNAcentral
GCGCGAGUGGUGAAAUUGGCAGACACGCAGCCUUGAGGUGGUUGUGCCCUUUCGGGCGUGGAGGUUCAAGUCCUCUCUCGCGCA